UUCUAUAUGGUUUCCUAAAAAACAUAAACUACAAAGAAACGAGUUAAAACUAGAUAAAAACUAUUAUAAACAUAAACAACAAUAAUACUACAUAAAUAAAGACACGAGGAAAGAAUUUUGCAAAUUAAAGGGAACUUCCCUGAUGAUUGAGGGCAGAGAAUAGGUGGUGAGCGUCAUCAAUCUGCUCCGUUAAUGUUCAAUCUUCCAAACCUCGAUCGACGAUUCUGGAUAUUUCUUGCAAAAAAAUUG
RNAcentral lists this long non-coding RNA (249 nucleotides) under Erythranthe guttata (spotted monkey flower). RNAcentral describes it as "long non-coding RNA (EGUT_LNC001555)". Lineage: Eukaryota; Viridiplantae; Streptophyta; Magnoliopsida; Lamiales; Phrymaceae. The record is from RNAcentral.